RNAcentral lists this ribosomal RNA (255 nucleotides) under uncultured bacterium. RNAcentral's name for it is "partial 16S ribosomal RNA". It matches the Rfam family "Bacterial small subunit ribosomal RNA", at positions 524 to 776 of the family's 1533-position model. The record is from RNAcentral.
UACGUAGGGUGCGAGCGUUUGUCCGGAAUUAUUGGGCGUAAAGAGCUCGUAGGCGGUCUGUCGCGUCGGUCGUGAAACGUCGCAGCUUAACUGUGGGCGUGCGGUCGAUACGGGCAUGACUGGAGUUCGGCAGGGGAGACUGGAAUUCCUGGUGUAGCGGUGAAAUGCGCAGAUAUCAGGAGGAACACCGGUGGCGAAGGCGGGUCUCUGGGCCGAUACUGACGCUGAGGAGCGAAAGCGUGGGGAGCGAACAGG